ACCGGUUGCGGUUCUAGUUGUUAUACUCACUCACAAACCUGAUGUCUAGUCAUAUUUGACUCCAAAACACUAACAAAACUUCUUCUUGCUUCUCAAAGCUUUCAUGGUGUAUUCGUAGUCCGUAUGAGUCUUUGUUUUUGUAUCUUCUAACAAGGAUACAAUACUUAGGCUUUUAAGAUCUAGUUGCGGUUCUAGUUGUUAUACUCACUCAUACACAUGACAUCUAGUCAUAUUAGACUCCAAAACACUAACCAAGCUUCUUGUUGCUUCUUAAAGCUUUGAUGGUGUAGCUGAAGUCCGUAUGAGUCGUUGGCUUUGUAUCUUCUUACAAGGAAAUACUACUUAGGUUUUUAAGAUCCGAUUGCGGUUCUAGUUCUUAUACUCAAUGAUACACAUGCCAUCAAGUCAUAUUUGACUCCAAAACACUAACCAAGCUUCUUCUUGCUUCUCAAAGCUUUGAUGGUCUAGCCGUAAUCCAUUGAGUCUUUGGCUUUGUACUUCUAACAAGGAUACAAUACUUAGGCUCUUAAGAUUCGAUUGAAGUUCUAGUUGUUAUACUCACUCGUACACAUGACAUCUAGUCAUAU
Molecule: small RNA, 587 nt
Filed under: Arabidopsis thaliana (thale cress)
Lineage: Eukaryota; Viridiplantae; Streptophyta; Magnoliopsida; Brassicales; Brassicaceae
Description: ATSL266880
Source: RNAcentral